AGCAUCCGAUGAAAACGCCGUCGUUCAGUUCCGUCACUUGAACGGCGAGGAUUGGUCUGU
RNAcentral lists this small RNA (60 nucleotides) under Arabidopsis thaliana (thale cress). Its description in RNAcentral is "ATSL123490". Lineage: Eukaryota; Viridiplantae; Streptophyta; Magnoliopsida; Brassicales; Brassicaceae. The record is from RNAcentral.